CUGACACAGGGAGGUAGUGACAAGAAAUAACAAUACAGGGCUUUUCAAGUCUUGUAAUUGGAAUGAGUACAAUUUAAACCCCUUAACGAGGAUCAAUUGGAGGGCAAGUCUGGUGCCAGCAGCCGCGGUAAUUCCAGCUCCAAUAGCGUAUAUUAAAGUUGUUGCAGUUAAAAAGCUCGUAGUCGGAUUUCGGGGCGACGCAUUCGGUCUGCCGAAGGGUAAGUACUGGGUGUUGCGUCCUUCCUUCUGGAGACUGGUUCUACUCUUAACUGAGCGGGGUCAGGAAACAGAUCGUUUACUUUGAAAAAAUCAGAGUGUUUAAAGCAGGCCAAGAUUGCUCUUGCAUGGAUUAGCAUGGGAUAAUGAAAUAGGACUUUGGUGCUAUUUUGUUGGUUUCGAGCACUGAAGUAAUGAUUAAAAGGGACAGUCAGGGGCACUUGUAUUCCGUUGAGAGAGGUGAAAUUCUUAGACCAAUGGAAGACAAACUUCUGCGAAAGCAUUUGCCA
This 506-nucleotide ribosomal RNA is filed under the name Haptophyta environmental samples. Its description in RNAcentral is "bacterial SSU rRNA". It matches the Rfam family "Eukaryotic small subunit ribosomal RNA", at positions 451 to 960 of the family's 1831-position model. Lineage: Eukaryota; Haptophyta. The record is from RNAcentral.